GGGACAGACAUGACUGCCAGAGUCCAGGCUAAAAGCCGUCGACAUGGCCAAAACUGGAUGCUGACAACACCAAGUGUUGACAGGACAGUGGAGGGACUGGAACUCUCUCAUCCGCCGCUGCUGGGUGUAAAACAGUUUGCCACAGGCCUCGGGUCUCAUGAAGUCGUGAGCUUCACACACAGCCCAGCGACCCCACUCCUGGACGUUUCCCCGAGAGGAACGAACACAUAACGUCUGCGCAAAGACAGAUCUGUUGGCAAACGUUCGCGGCGGCUUCGCUGUGAUCUCCAAACCGCUGGAAACACCCCAAACGUCCACCAGCAGGGGGGCACAGAUGAACAAGCCGAGGUCCGUUCACCCCGCGGCCUGCCAGGCAGCAGUGAAGGAGGCAAAUCUGACAAUGUUUGUGGCUGAGAAGCGGCGGGCCCGGCGAAAGAGGCCACCCUGCGCGGUCCCAGGGGCACGAAGUUCCCCAAAAGGCUAGACUAAGCCGCAGCGAUAGAAAUCAGAGCAGUGAUUGGGGCGGCACAGAGAGAGGGCUGGGACACUUCUGGGACCUUCUGGAUGCAAAGGGCGCAGACUCCGUGGCCUGCGGCCGCCGGGCCCACGCACCUGUCGAGGCGCGCAGGCGUGGGAACCUAGCGGCUGUAAACGGUCUCUCGCCAGGGAAGGCGAUGCCAACCCCGGUGUGAAGGCGGCGGUGUGAGCAGUGGGAUUCCGAUUUCAGCUCUGAGGCAGAGUCCACAGGCCGUGCAGGCGCCCCUUGCAAGCCCCUGGCCGCCCCCAGUGGAGUGGACAUCCUAGACCGGCGCGGGACAACGGAUACGACGAAGCCACAGAUAAGGGCACAUGGGUAACUUAAAAUUCCCCAGCAUCCACGUUUUCAAAAGUGGAAAAUAAAUAGAUGCAAUUAAUUGUAA
Long non-coding RNA from Felis catus (domestic cat), 920 nucleotides. RefSeq lists it as uncharacterized. The transcript is spliced from 2 exons. The record is from RefSeq and is a predicted model, not a curated record. NCBI's taxonomy places the organism in Eukaryota, Metazoa, Chordata, Mammalia, Carnivora, Felidae.